This 406-nucleotide ribosomal RNA is filed under the name uncultured bacterium. Its description in RNAcentral is "partial 16S ribosomal RNA". It matches the Rfam family "Bacterial small subunit ribosomal RNA", at positions 29 to 526 of the family's 1533-position model. The record is from RNAcentral.
AUUGAACGCUGGCGGCAGGCCUAACACAUGCAAGUCGAACGAGUGGCGGACGGGUGAGUAAUGUCUGGGACACUGCCUGAUGGAGGGGGAUAACUACUGGAAACGGUAGCUAAUACCGCAUACCAUCGGAUGUGCCCAGAUGGGAUUAGUUAGUAGGUGAGGUAAAGGGUCACCUAGGCGACGAUCCCUAGCUGGUCUGAGAGGAUGACCAGAAACACUGGAACUGGGACAAGGUCCAGACUCCAACGGGAGGCAGGAGUGGGGAAUAUGGCACAAUGGGCGCAAACCUGAUGCAGCCAGGCCGCGUGGAUGAAGAAGGCCUUCGGGUUGUAAAGUACUUUCAGCGGGGAGGCGUUACCCGCAGAAGAAGCACCGGCUAACUCCGUGCCAGCAGCCGCGGUAAUAC